AGCAGCAGGUGAGCACCCCUGCUCUGGCACACACCCUGCCCAAGCUCUUCUUCAUCACAGGCCAGGAACAAUGGAGCCACUGAGCCAUGAGCUGAAACCCCUCAAAGCAGAAGCCCAGUGAAGCCGUCCACCUGUUCCUGUGAAACACCUGGGACACUGCUGAUGAAGCCUUCCUAUCUGGACUGGAAGCUGAAUCGGGGCUUUAUGUGUGAUAGGAGGCAUUCUACCAACUGAGAUACAUCCCAGGCCCUAAAGUUUUUCU
Molecule: non-coding RNA, 262 nt
Organism: Peromyscus maniculatus bairdii (prairie deer mouse)
Lineage: Eukaryota; Metazoa; Chordata; Mammalia; Rodentia; Cricetidae
Source: RefSeq, a predicted model, not a curated record